Meriones unguiculatus (Mongolian gerbil) is the source of this 782-nucleotide long non-coding RNA. RefSeq lists it as uncharacterized. The record is from RefSeq and is a predicted model, not a curated record. The transcript is spliced from 2 exons. NCBI's taxonomy places the organism in Eukaryota, Metazoa, Chordata, Mammalia, Rodentia, Muridae.
UUUGCUUUUGGUGCGGCAUUAUAAUAUUAAGAAGCAGUUUGGUUCCGGACAAGCCCGCCCUUGUUGCAGGCUGCUUGCGGGUUCCCACGGACGCCAGUGGGCAGACGCGGGUGGCCUGGGCGCAGCGCUCGCUCGGGGAAGCGGGCUAGGGGGCGCCCGGCUGGCUGUGGCCUGGGGUCCCCGCGGUGACCUCGGCUCCCGUGGUGGCCCGACCCGCGGCGCGCUCCUCGGGGUGGUGCAGACUCGGAGACGCCAGCCCCUGCUCCCCGCCAGUUCGCAGGCGGCCUGAGAUUGUUUUCCAAGACCGUAUCGCUCAGUCCAGUCAGUUUUCUCUUUUUUAAAAUUUGGUGACCGGAGUAAAAGUCGCAGGAAAACCCUCUGUGGAUAGCAAAUGCGACCGCAAAUCGGAGCACUUCGCAGUAUUGGUAACAAAAUAUUUGCGGCGCUCCGUAGUUAAAUCGGACCCUUCCGCCAAACUUCCCAAACUUGGCUUUCUUUGAACCAGGCUGGAAAGCGAUCCUUCUAAAGGGGAAUCAGAUGGUGGUAAACAAUUAGAUUCGGCAUGGCUUUUUUUUUUUUUUUUUUUUAAACCUGGUGCUUCAGCUUCUUCAGUCAAAGGCGAGGACCAAGACGAUCCAGAGGAAUACGUGAAUCUCGUCCUGCGCAGAGACAUCCACUUCUAACCCCCCCAUCCCCACCCCCCGGCCAGCUCCACGCCUCCGUUGCAAAAACAAAUGAAAUAAAGCAAAACCUUUUGCUUUGGCAACGCCUAAGCCACAUUA